RNAcentral lists this transfer RNA (70 nucleotides) under Fergusonina taylori (eucalypt gall-forming fly). RNAcentral's name for it is "tRNA-Asp". Lineage: Eukaryota; Metazoa; Arthropoda; Insecta; Diptera; Fergusoninidae. The record is from RNAcentral.
AAAAAAUUAGUUAAAAUCAAUAUAACAUUAACUUGUCAAGUUAAAAUUAUUAUCCUAUUAAUAUUUUUUA